Molecule: long non-coding RNA, 1457 nt
Organism: Spinacia oleracea (spinach)
Lineage: Eukaryota; Viridiplantae; Streptophyta; Magnoliopsida; Caryophyllales; Amaranthaceae
Exons: 7
Source: RefSeq, a predicted model, not a curated record
GCUUCCGAAUCUCUAUCCUUGAUUGAAACCUUCUAAUGUCUCACUCCAAAAUUAGAACCAAUUCUUCUGCUCUUCAAUGGCUUUCACCGCCUCAGACCUCCAACAAAACGUCCCCGUUUUAGUCCUCUCUCAUGUCCAAUCUCAUUCUCAACUUCAAAUCAAACAAUCGGAAGGUGAGAAGAAGAAAACGAUGACGUCUGGGUUUUUCGGAGAUGUGUUCUACGGCGGAGGUGGUGCAGGGACCGGCGGAGCGAGGGCGGGGAUGGCGAGUUUCCGACAACAACAACAAUAAUAACAGCAGCAACAACCGCGGUCGAAGUUGAAGGAUGGUUCUGUUAUAUUUUUUGAGAGAAUAUCACGUGAGGAAUCCGAAAAAGUUGAGACGAUUAGCUUCGAGAAGAGCAGUGAUACGAUGCCCUGUCAACUAAUCGCUCGAUGCUUAUGGAUUUUGUUGUUGCUCAAUACUGUGAGAUGAAGGUUAAGAAGGGGUAGUUUUUGCGCUGUCAGGCUUUGUAAACCCUGAGCGAGGUAUUUUGCUGUCACAAGCUUUAGAAAUGGGGGCUCGAUAAUUUUUACAGCCAUAUAUUGGAGUAAAUUUACAGCCAUAUAUUCCAUCCCGAGCGAGCUCACACCAGGUUAAUAACUCAAGAGAGCACUGGAAAAGAGCUGCACAUUCAGUCAAAAAAUUAAAUGAUGAUGGAACAUUAAGAAUACAAUCUACCAUCAAUAAAAGAGUCUGUGUAAAUGAAACGACACAGAGUCAAUGUAUCACAACAUCAUCGGUGAAGAAUGCUGAAUUUGAUUUAUUGUGUCAAGUCUGCUUUUUAAACUUAAGGAUACUUAUAUGUUAGACAAGGAAACAAAGGAAAAGAUGAACUCCUUAUCAAAUAAGUGCCUCAAUCAGCUUGAAUCUUUGCACAUUGAGCACGGCAAAAGUCUCACAACCAUUCAGAACCAAUUGGAAGUGUACCUUAUUAAGCAUUACAUCUAUUUACAAGGUAGGUGAGCAGGCAACACCGGAGAAAAGAGUUGUCGUUCCCUCUAUGAAUGUCAAUCUACAUGUAGAUGUUGGGGAAAGAUCAGAACCUCUACAGGCCGAAACCAAGACACUGCCACCACAUCAUUAGAAUACAGAUUGGCUUAGCAGGGCUCCCUUUGCAAACAUUAACUAAGAUGUUUGUAUCAACUUCUAUAGAUAGGGGAAAAUAACACCAGAUUGAAGUUGUAAUUGACCUCUCUUACUUACUAAAUAGUCUAUUAAUUGAACUUUUUGCAAGCUUGGCAACUAUAGCCUCUUGAAUAUAUAUGUGUCCUUCAUUUUCAGUAGAGUAGGUUGUCUGUUUUGGUGUUGAAUGUUUCAUGGGUUGAUAAUGGGAUUGUAAUAGUUACAUUUUAUUUUUGAGAUUUAGGGAAGAUUCAUAGUUACUACAGUGUUCUUGAUUGAUCUAUGGAUGCUU